UUGCUAAGCAAAAGAAAAUGUCUCCAUGCGGCCGCUGCGGAGCCCCGGGUGUCUGCCCUAGGCUUAGGGAAACGCUGCCGGCGUAGGUCGGCUCUCCCGAUAUGCCGAUGGGAGUUUGCAGAGCCACGGGGAGGGCAAGGAGAGUGUAGGGGACAAGGGGCUAUGCUGUGGCUUGCAGGGAGUUCUGAGUUGCUGGCGGCAGCCUGCUCCGAGUUGCUUAGACCCGACAGCGUUGUUAGCUAGGUUUGCACCGUCGUGUUCGGUAGGUUGACCAAUGUAAACUGAACUCUGCUGUGCGGAAAGCAAGGGGCUGCAGCUCUGUAAUUCCGUAAACCAAUCGGAGAAGGAGUGGAAAUGCUUCCUGUUGUUCACCGAGUUCAGAAUCUUGUGCACUGCCAACAGAGGGGACCUGCGGCCUGGUGGGAUUAGGUUUUGCAGAUUGCACCUGGAUCCUGUUUUAUUUGGGAAUGGAGCGAAUGAAAUUGGUAUAGGGACGCUGCUAUAUUCAACUCGGGACAAGACAGCAGCUUUGGAUCAACAACUUGCGCCAGUAACCCUCAAAACCUCUAAGUUUAGAUGUAAAAAUGUUAAAACAAAAAACCUCAGUCGGAUUGUUUAUAAGCCUAUCUUAAUAUGGAGAAGGGAUUUAAGAGCUGAAAUUUUCAAAGCCACCUAACAUCAAUUUCAAGAGGAGGUAUGGGGAUUUUGCUGCACAGUUCCCUUUGAAGUUAAUGGGAAUUGUGAAGCUAAAUUCCCUAGUCAGCUGUGAAAACUGCAACAGAGAUUUGGGAAAACUGUUGCCACUGAGCAGCGUUGCCAACUGCAAGCAUUCAGAAGUCAUGAUUAGCUUAAAAUCAUGAUUUUUUUUUUUUUUUUUUUAAAAGUGCCCCCUGCCCAAUACCUUUUGGUAUGUGACCUCUAGGGUUCACAUCUUCAAGCUUUUAUCUAGCAUCAUGAAGGCUAGAAAUAUAUAUAUAUUAAUGAAAGCUGAGAUUCUAAUGCAGGGGUGGGCAAUAAUUUUCACAGGGGCGCCACUCCACGAAUUUUGACUUGCAUCCUAGUCUUAUUUGCUAAAUAGCAUUUUGUGCUCUUUGCUAACCUUCUACAAGCCUGAAGAAGCCUAAAAAGCUACAGAAAAGCCAAGAAAUGCAUCUCAAGUACUGCAUUAAAAUGAAACAUCCCAAGGAGACAGUACGUCUGGGCAAAAAGGUUCUUAUGAAAAUUCAGACUCUGGAAUCUGUCAAAUCUACAUUGACUUAUAUAAACAACUGACAUUUUUUAAAAUUAUCUUUAAAGUGCUGGAGACAAGAUGGGUGAGGUGUUGUGCAAGUUUCCUUUGAGGACAAAGAGGUUGCAUGCAGUGUGAUGGUCACUUAAUGAAAAACGUUCACUCAGGCGAAGAUGUGCUCUGACCUGUCCUGGUUCACAUCCAUCACAGGUGUCACUGCCAGGGUGUAUGUGGAAGGAUAGCACAGUUUCUCCAAUCUUUACUUCAUCCCCAUGUUCCAGAACAUAAGGGUCACAUUUUGUUUUAGGCUAUACAAAAAGAAUUACACAAUUUUGUCAACUGUAUUUAUUAGAAUAACUGAUAAAAUUCACCAUUACAUGUAUUCCAGGAAUAUUGUUUAUAUGCGAGUCAUUCAGUAUAUUUAAAUUGGUAUCUCGGUAAUUAACUAUAUUUUUAAUUGGAACAAAUUUCUCAUAAUUCCUAAUCCAAAAUAAAUAGGAAAAUGUAUCAUAAGUACACCUAAAAACUGAGCAGAAGCAAAGAAAUGAUCAAUGCAUAGAAGAAAAACCACUCAGCAAAAUCAUCGGUGAUUUGUAAGUCAGAAUUUCAUUUAAAAUGACUAUGUGAUUGAUAUGCUUUUUAUGAAAUAUAAAUACCUAGUUUUCUAAUCACAGUAAGCUGCAAUGCUCACCUGUAGAAUCUGAUUUCCGUUAACAACUGUGCCAUUCUGACUGCCUUGAUCCACAAGAACAUAAUUUUGCAAUUCAUGGUCAAAAUAUACUUCUGCAUGAAACUAGAAAAAUAAUGAAAUAAAAUGUUUCUACUGCAUAGCAUUUAGUUUACAUAUUAUCUUAAUAUUCCCGGAUGUAUUUUAGUGGUCUAACACCACACCUCUGGUAUUGUAAGUCAAGUCACACUGUCACAGGCUUUCUGAUUUGACCAAACUGAGGAGUGUAUGAACAAAACCUAGUAUUUCUGGCGUACUAAAUUCCAUAUUAUCAGCACAACUGUAUUUGUUGAUUGGGCUGUAGAGAUUUACAGUUGUGAACAAUCCUAUAAUGGCAGAGAGAUUGACGAAGAUGACCUCAGAUCUUUUCGGUCUCUAGAUUCUAUGAAUAGGAUAAACCACAAUUCAACUAAAGUUUAUUUUAAAGAUGCUAACCCUGGAGCUUUUUGGUGAUAUGAUUUUAAUCUUUUUUUUUUAAAAAAAGAUGUAAAUGUGAAAGUGAUCCACACAGAAACAAAAUGCUGCCAUGUAUUGCAGGUGGAGGAAAACAGCUUAGUGCCACUAACUUUCUAUGGUUCCACUGCCAGAAGAAAUAGAAACCUGAUCCAAUGCCCACUGAAGUGAAAGGAAAAACUUCAAUUGACUUCAAUAUGUAUUGCACCAAGCCCUUAUUGAUCAAGAACCUAAGUUUAUCUGAUUCUGUGUCCUAUCAGAGACAGACGUUAGGAUUAUCUAUUAAAAACAAAUUUAUUGGGCAAAAUUCUCAGUUUCAUGCCUGCAAAGAAAAAAUGUCUGUAAUAAGUGACUGUGGAGAUCUAAAAGAAAGAAUGAAUAUCCCUAUAAAGGUAUGUUAUCUAAAAAGGAACUAGAAUACAUUUCUGUUAUUUAUACAAAAAUUAAACAGCUUUGUUUUAUAGGUGAUAUUAAAGAUGCAAAAAAUUCUUUCAAUAUUUUUUGCAAUAAAAGCAUAAUAUUUUAGUAGAAGCCUUCUUUGGCUUUCUAUUAUGUAAUUCUUUUUCCUCCAAAAUAUGUAAAAGUGUGAGAUUUAAAAAAAAAAAGUUAACUUUUUGUAUGCCUACACUUGUGUGUCUCUUUAAGGAACAUUUCAAAUGUUGGGAAUAUAUUGCUUACUACUAUGGUGUCAGGAAAAUGUCCUGACUUACUGAAAGUAAACUGAUGAGUGUUUAGAUUUUUUGAGACUAUAGUCAAUAAAUGUAUUUCAUCACUGUGGCUACAAAAACAAAUAUUACAAGAAAUGUGGUUGAGAAGAAUAAAUGAGAGAAAUUAGUCAAUUUACUGCUUUUAUUAGAUUAACUGCUGAACUCAGAAGAAAAAUGGUUUAAAUGGAAUAAAUCGGUAAGAAUUCAUUGAUCACGUCUGUGGAAAAAAUCUACUGUAUUAGUACUGUAUGUCACAGUAUACCUAGAGUAACUCAACCUAUACUGUCGCAACCCUGAAUUUCCUUACUUUCUGUAUUUGGAACCCUCUCUUUUAAUACUUGUAUAAAAAUAUGUACUAUCAACAAUUUUGUUUAUAUUUAAUAAGCUAGUAACUAAAGUGCACUUCAACUCUGAAAAGUCAUUGUUAUAUAGGAUGGAUGCGGCUCUAGGUUUGUUGUUUGUCAAUUAACCUUUGAGAUCUAAUCUGUUUGUAGAGGAGUUUUAAACAGUCUAAUUAAAAAUUCCUUCUCUUCCUGUAUUUUUUUUUUCCAAUCUGCUAACUCUGCAAACUCAUCCUGGAAUCUGCAAGACAAGCUGGGUUCCUUCUGACUUAUCACCAGAAAUAAAGAUUCUGCAUUCAGAAUUUAAGUUACCACUUCUGUUAAUGAUGUGCAAAUGAAAAUAAAAUCUAGCUCAUUCUCCCAGCUAUAUUGGCUCUGAAAGAGAGAAAUGUAAAGUAAACUGUAAUAAAAACGUAUCUCUUUACGUUACUGACCAACUAUGACUAUGAAUGCAAACAUGGAUCUGGUCUAUUGAAUAAGAAGUUGUUUUCAAUCAUUUUUCAGAGUAAAACUGCACUUUAAAGUAAUUGGUAACUCACUGUGAAAUAACCAGAAAUAAUAACUUCAUUUUCAAAAUAACUAACAUUACUAGUCCAAUGAAUAUUUGUAGGCAACCUGUAAGUUUCUGUUACCUACCCUGGAGGAAAAAAACCUCAUUGUCUUGGCUGUGCCUGAUGUUUGUCAUAAUUAAAUUAUAAUACACUGUUUAGGAUUCCUGAUAUCAAGCGAUAGGACUGAUUAUAGUAUAAAGUUGGGAAAAUUUAAAUUGCUUUUCUCUUAAAAGAAUGCUUUAUAAAAGACAAAAAGACAUGAAUCAGCAUCCCUUGACUACGCAAAAUAUAUUCUCUGAUCUCUGGAAUGACAGGAAGGCGGAGUAGAUCUAAAUUUGUAUAUACGGAUACAUAAAGUUGGCGUGCAGGACAAGAGAUAUGACUUUUUCAAAUAGUAUUUAAAAUAAGGUUAUCUGGCAAAGAUAAUGGUUCAAAAGCAAGAUUUAGUAGCAAAGCUAUCUGCAUAAGAUACAACACUGGAACCAUAAAACAUUACUAGUUACAAACAAACCUGGUUCAUUUUCAGAUUAAAAAGACAUCUUUAAAAUGCUAAAAUAAUUAUUAUAAAUUGACUAUCUUAUGCCU
Long non-coding RNA from Dermochelys coriacea (leatherback sea turtle), 4592 nucleotides. RefSeq lists it as uncharacterized. The transcript has 6 exons. NCBI's taxonomy places the organism in Eukaryota, Metazoa, Chordata, Testudines, Dermochelyidae. The record is from RefSeq and is a predicted model, not a curated record.